AAUGUGACACCGAUAUAGUAUAGCCAGUUAUAACCGGAUCUGUUAUCGGUCAGACCGUGUUGUCCUGGUGGAGAUCACAGCUUAUCUACCGUCAUAUCAAAGGAGCAAUCAUGACGAUUCGACGAAUAUUCCCGAUAAUCCUCUUGUGUGUUUACUUUGUCGUCAGUCAGCAAGCCAUCCCAGAGGGUUGUCAAACCAUCACUGUUCCAUUGUGUAUUGGAAUGAAUUACAGUAUGGCGUUCAUGCCGAACAGGUUUGGACAUCUACAUGUUGAUUCGGCUGGCCUGGGAAUUCACCAAUUCCUUCCUUUGGUUAAAAUAGAAUGUAGUUCAUUUUUACGGACAUUCCUUUGUAAUACUUAUUUUCCCCAGUGCAGUCCAAGAGGAGGUGGAAUCGAACCAUGUGCCUGGCUCUGUAGACAUGCGAGGGAAGGCUGCGAACCACUCAUGAAUGAGUUCGGAUUCGAGUGGCCAUCGUCACUAGAUUGUUCUACAUAUUCUGAAGAUUAUAGAUGCUUGACAUAAAUAACACGUGUCUCUUGUUUUCAGAUCAUAUUCCUAUCGUAAUUCCAUUGUAUGCCUAUCAUAUUCCGAUUGUAAUCCUAUGAUUAAGAUUCACAUAUAUUACCCUGAACAAUAAAGGCCAUUUGAAAUUGGAA
Molecule: long non-coding RNA, 658 nt
Organism: Pecten maximus
Lineage: Eukaryota; Metazoa; Mollusca; Bivalvia; Pectinida; Pectinidae
Exons: 3
Source: RefSeq, a predicted model, not a curated record